This is a non-coding RNA of Cricetulus griseus (Chinese hamster), 7936 nucleotides long. The record is from RefSeq and is a predicted model, not a curated record. Lineage: Eukaryota; Metazoa; Chordata; Mammalia; Rodentia; Cricetidae.
CACAGAAACUGAACAGAAGGCUGAGAAGCCAGAAGGAGUCAGAGUUGAGGACUCUCGGGGACUUAUGAAACAAUCCUGACUCCUCAAAGCCUGGCUGUGGAUACAGGCUAAAAGCUAUUGAGAACUUGUUGCCUAGCAACGUGAGACCAGUUAAUAAAGGAGUUGGAGGCUUUUCAUUUCCCAGACUGCAGACAGUUGUGAGCCUCUUUGUGGUUGCUGGGAAUCGAACCUGGGUGCUCUCAGCCACUGCGCCAAUUCUCCAGCCCACAUCCAAGAGAACAGAUCCCUCCACAUUAUGCCUUCUGGCUUGGGCAGGCAGGACUCAACCAGGAAUUUCUGGUGCCAGGUGGCCAGGCACCAUUAUGACAAAUCCAAACAACCUUAACUUCGGAGACAGAGAAGCUUGUUAUGACUGAAGGAAGUAUAUGUUGUGUUUUCAAACACCUUUGGGCACUAGAAUGCCUUGGUAGGAAUCCACUUGGAGGAAGAGGAUGGAGAGGACCUGGCAUAUGCACUGCUGAGCUCAGUGGCUUUCCUGUUUCAGAUGGUAAGCCGAGGACUAAUGAUGUCAGGCCUGACAAGAAGUUAAGAAGUGCCAUCUUGGAAGCUCAAUUAAAGAGAUAUCUAGAUUAAAUGAAUCUAAGAGAGUGAGGUUUACUACCUACAAAGGCGGUCUCUUGGGAUGGGUCAGCAUGGCAAGAGUAGGACAAAUCCUCAAAAGUGACAUGUGGCCAUGCAAAGACAAAACAGCCUUCACCAGUCUCCAGUAGCCUUCUAGUUGGUGUAAAUCUAGACUAACACUUUCUGUCAAUCACAACUGUGUGUGAGUUGAUGAUUUAUGAGUACCACACAACCCUGACAAAAUAAAUGCCUGAGAAGAAGUGGACGAAGCUUUACAUCAAUAACUAGAAAACACAAGAGAUUUGGGGGCUGGAGAUGUAUCUCAUUUGGUACAGUUCUUGCCUGGUAUGCAUGUAGCCCUGCAUUCAACCCCCAGUACCAAAUAAACUUGGCAUGAUGGCACAUGCCCAUAAUCUCACCACUUGAAAAGUGAAGGUUGGAAGAUGAAAGUUCAAGGUUGUCCUCUGCUACAUUGUUAGUUUUAGGCCAAUCUUGGCUACUUGAGACCUUGCCCUCAAAGAAAUAAAUAGAUAAAAUAGAGGGAAUGGGGAAAUGGCUCAGUGGUUAAAGGCUCAUAUUGCUCCUCCAGCACAGCUGACUGUAACUCCACUUCUAGCAGAUCCCACACUGUCUCCUGACCUCUGCAGACACCCACAUAUAUGUGGCACAUGUGGGUGCCCCCACACACAUCAUUUUUUUACCUUAAAAAGCUAAUUAAUGGAGUAAAUUCAGAUGUGGUAGUACAAAGAUCAUUUAUGAAGGAGUUUGUACAUUUGCUGUAAUAAUAAAAAAAUAGCAAAUGCCUAGUUCCUUAAUAAAUUGACAUAACUGCAGAAACAGUCAUCAUAGACAGUAGACAUCACAAUCAGUAUCAUAGGUUGGUAUAGGGGUCUUGACAUGAAUGACUACAGCCAUGUUGAGUUAUAAUUGACAUGAUUGUCUCUGAGCAACACUGUGGGAUUUCUCAACAUAAUAUGGAUCAAUCAAGGAUCUUCCAACUUGCCUGAGAUCACUUUUGUCCUAGGAUUUCAUAAGCCCCUCCAUCUGACCCCCAAAAUUGCACUCUCUGCAAUUUCAGAUCUGUCUUUUUCCCCUGAGACUUUCCUGAACCUUGUAGAUGUCUUUCAUGCAUCCAGACCAGUUUGCUUUGUAAUGAUUGACAUUUUUGAUUUCAGAAAAAUUCAGAACAUGGAGAAGCAAUUGUCCUCCUUACUUUGUGCUUUUAAAAUUUCUAUAUCCUGAGUACUAUGCAUGGGUCCUCAUGCCAUGACACGUAUGUGGGGGUUGGAGAACAAUUCUAUGGAACUAGUUCUGUUCCCCUACUUUUUCAUGUGCUUAAGCGAUCCAACUUAGGCAUCAGGCUAGCUCUGCAAGUUCUUUAUGGCUGAGCCAUCUCACCAGACCAAGAUGGGUUCAACUUGAACACACAAUAAUUCUUUUAUGUAUCUUUACCUGGAAGUGGGGCACUGAGACAUAAAAUUAAGAUGAGGUCAUUAGGGUGAACUAUAACCCAAUAUUUUUAUGAGAAGAGACAGAAACUUUCAUUUGUAGGGAGAAAGCAGUGUGACUCAAAUUGAAAGACUGGGAUGAGACAAUGAAAUGCCUGGAGCUAAAAGAGGAUGGGGCAUGCACAGGAAGAAUCUCAUAGCGUGAUCUCAGCAAUGUGGUUGCAGGCUUGUAGCCUUUGAACUUUUUGAGAAUUAAACUUUGGUUGUUUGUUUCUAGCAGGGAGUUUGUAGUCCUCAGUUGUCACAAGCCUGGAACACUAACAAUCAAUUUCAAGGACUAAUCCAUUUUCCUAUAAUUCAGAGGAUUAUAUGUCAGAACCACAGACAAGUUACAGAAGAAAGGAAAUCAUUCCCCAACAGCAUGAGAUGAGGCCCAAGAGUUCAAUUACAUAAACCUACUAGGGACAUUUCACAUCCGUAUCUCAACAGUGAAUAUACUAGGACACCUGUUGUCUGUCCCUGAUGAAACAGUCAGCCCUUGGGUAAAGUUAAAGGAGCUGCAAAGAGUCAUCAUUGACUCUGCCCUGAGCUUGUGCUUCACAAAGAUGGGAUUUGAAAUCUGUGGGUGAGGGAAAUGCUCAGCCUCCUAGAGAGAAAAUAGUCCUCACCACCCUGCGCCCUGCCAUCACCUACAAUAUUCACAAACUGUUACCCAGAGUGAGAUGGAAAUCUCUGAGGAAAAGAAAAAGAGGGAAAUAAGUUCUCAGGACCUUGAUGGAAACAACAGCAAGAAAAUUUUCAGACAGUUUCCUAGCAACAAAAAUCAAUGUACUUGGGUACUGUGCUGCCAUUCCUUGAAAACAUUGACUCCCAAAGAGUCUAAAUGAUAAAGAAAGAAAAGCAAGAAUGAAUUUCCUGGUGGCUAACAUCGUAUUCAACUCUCUACCUUAGCAAAAGGAAAUUACAAAACACCUGCAAGUUUAGUCAUCCUUAUAUUUUCAAUGGUCAAAACCAAAACGUGGCCCUGAAAUUGUAAAAGGGAUAUGCUGUUAUUUGUGGCUUUAGGGUUAUGUCCACUCACAACUCUGUGAUAUUGGAAGCAAACUAACCCUGGAAGAGAGGAUCACCUAAGACCUCAUUGUGUGACAGCCAAGAGGAAUGUGACAUUCAAGAAAUCUCAGAAUGAAUCUGUGAUAGUGAGAACAUAUAAGAGCACGCAGACCAUAAAAUGUUAUCCAUUCUUCUCUGUGCACUCGUGAGAUGCUACAGGUCUAUGUGAUUCACACACUCCCAUGCACUGUAUGUGUAAUGGUGUGUGUGUGUGUGUGUGUGUGUGUGUGUGUGUGUGUGUGUGUACAUACAUGUUCAUGUAUGUAUAGGUGAAUGCAUGUGCACUUGGGUAGAGAGCAAAGGUUGACACUGGGUGUCUUCUUCAAUCACUCUUUACCUUUGUAGACACAAACAUGCAUACAUGCACACAUACACAUAUACACAUAUGUAUGCAUGUGUAUACACAGGCAUAAACCACAGAGAUACAGUAAUAAUAGAAGAAGAAAAAUAAGACAACAAUAAAACAUUCUUGAAACAUGUGUGCCUGAUUAGAAUACACAGUGAAGCCACUGGCUAACUCACUACUAAUUCUCAGAAGGCGUGUAUGUCUGUUUAAUUUUUUAAAAAUGGGAUUCCUGUCAUUUAAUAUCUUUCCCCUUUGCCCCAUGAAGAUGGCCAUUUUUCUUUUAUGAAGUAAACUUUUUUGAUUACUCACAUCUCUCACAUUUCCUCUAUUCACUCACCUGUCGAAGGUCACUUUGUCUUCAUCCUGAAUAUGGUGUAAGAUGGAGUGCACUGCUCUUUAAGGUCAGGUCCGAUUGUUUCGGAGGUAAAGCAAGCAAUGAGACCUACAAUGCUCUAUGAAAUGGCUGCCGCUGCAUCUCACCAGGCAAGUGCAGCUUACUCCAUCAGAUUCAUUAAUCCUUAGGAUAAUUUCUUAACCUGAAAUACUCAGAGUUUAAAUUGCCAGGGUUUUGAAAUUGAUUUUAUUUAGGGACCUCUACUAAGGUUCAUUAAACAACCCAGUGACUGAGAGAAAAGUGAGCAAAAUUUGAGAAAAUAAAAAAAUAAAAUUGCAGUUUAAAAGGCAACUAAAACUGAGGGGCUUGGUUUGAUGACAUAAAGUUUUUUUUCUAUUGUUUUUAUGCCAUGAGGCAGGCUGAAAGGUUUCCAUUAUGGGUACAUAACCUGCUGAAGGGGGCUAUUACAUUCUCUUCUUGAUCUGACAGGUUACCCCAUACCCUACUCCCACAGAACUAGUAUGGGCAAUGACAACCACUCUCUCUGGAAAUCUGUCUUUUUCUGUUUUCAUGUCUAAAAACCUCUGUUCUAAGAAAUAAUCCCUUUAUAUCUAAAGGUUGAUGUGAAAUCUGACAGUGCUUGGAAACUAAUGAGACGGUAUAUUCAUUUUGCAUUGACUUUAAUAUUUAAUUUCCACGAAAAAUUUCUACCUGACAGAAUGAGUUAGUAGGCACCUCCUGUGGUGUCAUGUUACAUUUACAGGCAAGGAUGAUAGUUCCAAUCAAUACAAACAAACACAAAGGUGAUUUUGUAAAAUCUUAUGAGAAUGGUUGGUUGUAGGACAAAACUUAAGAUAAAUAGCUAUGUGUCUAGCGAUCAAAACUUGUAAAUGGAAUAAGUAAAUAAGCGAUAGCUGCUCAAAUCACUUCUGGAAACAAGAAAAUAAUGCUGUAAGAGUGGGGGACAGGGCAAGUGUACCUUCCUGCAGGCCAGGGAUGAGUCUUCAGCUGAACAAGGUAACUGGCACUGUGACCCUUGACUCUGCAUCCCUUCACUCACUCCACACUUGCUGCUUGCCAUUCUGACCCCGCUUUCUGGCUGUCAGAGGAGAGAGAUUAUACCCAGCAACUUCCUAUGAGUCAGCCAGUGAGUCACAGGGAAGGAUCUAGGGAAGCCAUUACAGCCUGAACUGAUGCCCAUAGCCUCGUGCCUGGCCUGCAGGAAGGUGCACUUGUCAUGUCCCUCUACCCCAUGUUCUUGCUCACCAGGAGAAGCCAAAUCACAGCACAGUAAUGGAUGAAUGAGUGACAUCAAGAUGGAAGAUAAAAUUGGACAAGGAGCUUCAGAAUUAAUUAGAAAAGAAGGUUAAAUAGUUUUGCUAACUCCCAGAGCUUGGAGAAAUGCCAGCUCUUCAAAUGGUGGCACCAGAAUCUCUUGGUCUCAUGUCUGCCCAAAUACAGGUUGUGCCACCUCCAAGCCAACCUAUCAGUCUGUUCUUGGGAUUUACAAAAGGACAAAGGUUUGUGCCUCCUGGCAUUGAUGGUGGAACACAUCUGAUGACCAGUCACUGGUGUGCUUUAAGGUUUGUUUUUAGGUCCUGCCAGGAGUGUUCAAUUCAUGUCUGUCACUGGCAUCAAAGGAUGGUCCUCCCUGACUGGGGAGCAUCACCCUCUUUGAUUUGCACGACACCCUGAAGACGAAGCCAACGCCGAGGGCAGAAUGGCAAACACAGUACAGCGAGGGAAGCUCUGGAUGCUUUUCAGCCAGCCAAAUCCUCGAAUCAAACCUGGCAUGAGUGGAGAGACAGAUGUCACUGUCAGAUUGCUCCAUCAUCCUUGAUGUGACCUACCACGAGGUGUUCCGAUUUCGUUUCUAAAAGCCUGGAUAAACUCAACAAGGUUGGACAGGGAAAAGGAGAAAAUAUUCUUACGGCUUGGCAAGGCCAGUGAUGUACACUCCACCUAGAAACAGACCUGGGAUCUCCAUGGUUGACGAGAGCAUCUGGCUGCCGUCUACAGGAAGCUGGGAGCGUGCCAGCUUUAAUAAUCACAGUCAGCUUGCCCACCUUUCCAUACCGAUCCAGUCAGAUGACGCACAAUCACUUCUGUUCUGAAGCAUAAAUGCACGAGUGCUAGGAAAUUCUGUGAGGCCACCAUCUCCCUCUAGAAGUGGGAACAGUUUAUGUGUAUGGCAAAGAAAAUAAUUGCACAGUGAAUUCACAACAAUGUCUUCACAACGACAAGUUAGGAGAUGAUAAAACUGAUAAUUGCUACUCAAGCAAAUUUAAGUAUUUUAAUUCAUAUAACACUCAUUGUCUUUCUAGUUUAUUAAAUUAGAAAAUACUUAUUUUAAUUUGGUCUAAUAGUUUGAUUUUGUGUUAUUGUAAUUUGAUAUUCUAAGACAAAUAUGAUUUGUGACCUAUAAAGUCCACACAAAAAAGCUUUUUGUCUGGUAUGAGUUGUAUUUUUUUAAAUUUCUAUGAUUAGCUUUAUUAUCAGUCUACCAUAGAUGGGCAUGGAAGCCCCAUAACCCCUACCCCCUAAAAGAAAGCUGAAUAACCAAUGCUAGGACAAGGUGUUGCAUGAGCUGCCCUUAAAGGAGUAAAAACAAAAAGAAAACUGAAUGUUACAUGAAAAAAAUCCCAGAGGAAUAGAAAAAAGCCCCUAACAGUGGAAUCACAAUAAUUACCACAUAGCCUGGCACCUGGGAGGUUAAAACUACAAGUCGCAGGGCAGAAACAAAACAUCCACAAUACAAAAUAAGAACCCCCAAAAGAAGAUAGGAAGCUGUCAUCCCAAGAUGCCAGAGUGAGCUGAGAGAGGAACCAUGACACACUCUCAGAAAUCUGGUCACUUGUCAUCCGUGCUUUGGUGCCUUGGAGAGAGACUGAGAUUCUUCAAGGCUUCCUCAGUUUCAGAGAACCUGGGUUUGGUGUUUCGGGAGGACUUCUCAGGGUCCUGCCCAGUUGCCCUUGCCACUCUUGUUACCAUGAGGAAAUUGCACAACAUUUUGCCUCGAGGAUAAAAGGCAUAGGGGCAAGCACAGUCAUCCAUUCCUCUGCAUCUCGUUGUAACUGGCACCGUGUCACUGUGCCUCCCCUUCUCUCCAUGGGCCUUAGACAGCUGCUUGACCUUCAUCUUGUUGGUCUUAAUGACUGUUUCUUUCUGAGUCUGUCCAGUCAGGACCUGAUAAGGCUUGUGCCUUGCUCAGGACUGCGACCCAGCUCUGAACUUCUCCAUUUGGUAGACUCCAGCACCACAGUCUUCAGUGAGGUCUGGUCUGCAGCAGUGGACACAUACCGCCGUUUCUUCAACACCCACCCUCAACCUAGGGUUACCACGCAGUUCUCUAAUUUACUGUUGUAUCUUGUAAAGUUUAUAUGAUUCUUUAUGAGAAAAUGUUUUAAUUUCUGUGUGUAGCAUGAAAAAUAAAAGACCCAGAGACAGAUGUUGGGGUUCAAGCUUCAAGCUGAAGAUCAGAAAAGAAAAGUAUCUGGCCACUAGCUGUUAACUCUACUUCAUACUGAAAGGGCAAUCCUGUCUCCACCAAACCUCAGACUGUAAUCCCAGAGUGCUCUGCUCUCCUCAGUGUGGCUGGAGAGAAUCCUGAGACUGAAUGUCUUCCUAUCCUCAAUGUGGGUGGAGAAUGAAUACCAGCUCUGAGACCUGGCUCCUGUCUUCUAUGCAUGUAAUCCCCGGUGCUGGGAUCAAAGGCAUGAGCUCUGUUACUCUUCACUCUUGUGUAGGCCAUGGUGGCCUUGAACUAAUAGAUAUUCAUCUACCUCUUACUCAUGAGUCCUAGGAUUAGAGAUGUGUACCACCACUGCCUGAUCUCUAAAGCUUGAGGCUGACUUUAUUUUCUGAAUCUUCAGGCAAGCUUUAAUAAAUCACAAAUGAUAUAUCACUACAUCUGUGUGAUUUCUUUUACCUGUUUUAGUCAUCAUACAUUUAAAUAUAUCAGAUAUACUGGCCACUGAAAUUAUAGAGGAAAAGUAAUAUUAGGACCAAGUAAGAUGCCAUUAAAUGUUCGUAGAGAAAUUAAUAUUGUCAACCAAAACACUACUAAGAUUAAAUAAU